RNAcentral lists this ribosomal RNA (402 nucleotides) under uncultured bacterium. RNAcentral's name for it is "bacterial SSU rRNA". It matches the Rfam family "Bacterial small subunit ribosomal RNA", at positions 356 to 773 of the family's 1533-position model. The record is from RNAcentral.
GGGGAAUAUUGGACAAUGGGCGAAAGCCUGAUCCAGCCACGCCGCGUGAGUGAUGAAGGCCUUCGGGUUGUAAAGCUCUGUCGGGAGGGACGAAGUUCUGACGGUACCUCCCAAGAAAGCGCCGGCUAACUCCGUGCCAGCAGCCGCGGUAAUACGGAGGGCGCAAGCGUUGCUCGGAAUCACUGGGCGUAAAGCGAACGCAGGCGGCUGAGUGUGUCGGAUGUGAAAGCCCCAGGCUCAACUUGGGAACUGCAUUCGAAACUGCUCGGCUUGAGUCCGGAAGAGGGUGGUGGAAUUCCUGGUGUAGAGGUGAAAUUCGUUGAUAUCAGGAGGAACACCGGCGGCGAAGGCGGCCACCUGGUCCGGUACUGACGCUCAUGUUCGAAAGCGUGGGUAGCAAAC